CUACUUUCAACAACGGAUCUCUGGCUC
RNAcentral lists this ribosomal RNA (27 nucleotides) under uncultured fungus. RNAcentral's name for it is "partial 5.8S ribosomal RNA". Lineage: Eukaryota; Fungi. The record is from RNAcentral.